Molecule: ribosomal RNA, 497 nt
Filed under: uncultured bacterium
Lineage: Bacteria
Description: partial 16S ribosomal RNA
Rfam family: Bacterial small subunit ribosomal RNA
Source: RNAcentral
GAUGAACGCUGGCGGCGUGCCUAAUACAUGCAAGUCGAGCGAACAGACGAGGAGCUUGCUCCUCUGACGUUAGCGGCGGACGGGUGAGUAACACGUGGAUAACCUACCUAUAAGACUGGGAUAACUUCGGGAAACCGGAGCUAAUACCGGAUAAUAUAUUGAACCGCAUGGUUCAAUAGUGAAAGACGGUUUUGCUGUUACUUAUAGAUGGAUCCGCGCCGCAUUAGCUAGUUGGUAAGGUAACGGCUUACCAAGGCAACGAUGCGUAGCCGACCUGAGAGGGGGAUCGGCCACACUGGAACUGAGACACGGUCCAGACUCCUACGGGAGGCAGCAGUAGGGAAUCUUCCGCAAUGGGCGAAAGCCGGACGGAGCAACGCCGCGUGAGUGAUGAAGGUCUUCGGAUCGUAAAACUCUGUUAUUAGGGAAGAACAAAUGUGUAAGUAACUAUGCACGUCUUGACGGUACCUAAUCAGAAAGCCACGGCUAACUACGUG